AGUCGCAGGUGUGCUGCUGAGGCGUGAGAAUGGCGUCCCGCGGCCGGCGUCCGGAGCAUGGCGGACCCCCAGAGCUGUUUUAUGACGAGACAGAAGCCCGGAAAUACGUUCGCAAGUGAGGGGAGCCUGAAUACUGCGGGGCGUCCGGGGGUCGGGAAGCGGCAAGUUGCCCCUGUUGCUGGCGUUGCCCGGAAAGGCCGUAGAAUUUGGGGGUGCGGGAAGGGAAGGACCCGGGUGGGUGCCGAUUUCUGUCUCUGGUAAAUCAACUUUAAGUUGCCGACCUCUCUGGGCCUCGGUACCUCAGCGUUGAGCUCACGGAUGAUUGAUAUCCAGACCAGGAUGGCUGGGCGAGCAUUGGAGCUUCUUUAUCUGCCAGAGAAUAAGCCCUGUUACCUGCUGGAUAUUGGCUGUGGCACUGGGCUGAGUGGAAGUUAUCUGUCAGAUGAAGGGCACUAUUGGGUGGGCCUGGAUAUCAGCCCUGCCAUGCUGGAUGAGGCUGUGGACCGAGAGAUAGAGGGAGACCUGCUGCUGGGGGAUAUGGGCCAGGGCAUCCCAUUCAAGCCAGGCACAUUUGAUGGUUGCAUCAGCAUUUCUGCUGUGCAGUGGCUCUGUAAUGCUAACAAGAAGUCUGAAAACCCUGCCAAGCGCCUGUACUGCUUUUUUGCUUCUCUUUUUUCUGUUCUCGUCCGGGGAUCCCGAGCUGUCCUGCAGCUGUACCCUGAGAACUCAGAGCAGUUGGAGCUGAUCACAACCCAGGCCACAAAGGCAGGCUUCUCCGGUGGCAUGGUGGUAGACUACCCUAACAGUGCCAAAGCAAAGAAAUUCUACCUCUGCUUGUUUUCUGGGCCUUCGACCUUUAUACCAGAGGGGCUGAGUGAAAAUCAGGAUGAAGUUGAACCCAGGGAGUCUGUGUUCACCAAUGAGAGGUUCCCAUUAAGGAUGUCGAGGCGGGGAAUGGUGAGGAAGAGUCGGGCAUGGGUGCUGGAGAAGAAGGAGCGGCACAGGCGCCAGGGCAGGGAAGUCAGACCUGACACCCAGUACACCGGCCGCAAGCGCAAGCCCCGCUUCUAAGUCACCACGCGGUUCUGGAAAGGCACUUGCCUCUGCACUUUUCUAUAUUGUUCAGCUGACAAAGUAGUAUUUUAGAAAAGUUCUAAAGUUAUAAAAAUGUUUUCUGCAGUAAAAAAAAAGUUCUCUGGGCCGGGCGUGGUGGCUCACACCUGUAAUCCCAGCACCUUGGGAGGCUGAGGUGGGAGGAUCAUUUGAGGCCAGGAGUUUGAGACCUGCCUGGGCAACAUAAUGAAACUUCCUUUCCAGGGAGGAAAAAAAAAAAAAAAAAAAGCUCUGAGAGCAUCUUAUUUUGUUUAAAGGCAAGAAAUAAAAUUUCCUUUUGUGGA
RNA transcript from Homo sapiens (human), 1397 nucleotides. It is a transcript of the gene named BUD23 rRNA methyltransferase and ribosome maturation factor, with no coding region annotated. The transcript is spliced from 12 exons. The record is from RefSeq and is marked reviewed. Lineage: Eukaryota; Metazoa; Chordata; Mammalia; Primates; Hominidae.